This 440-nucleotide ribosomal RNA is filed under the name uncultured bacterium. Its description in RNAcentral is "partial 16S ribosomal RNA". It matches the Rfam family "Bacterial small subunit ribosomal RNA", at positions 338 to 795 of the family's 1533-position model. The record is from RNAcentral.
CCUACGGGUGGCAGCAGUAGGGAAUUUUGCGCAAUGGGCGCAAGCCUGACGCAGCAACGCCGCGUGAACGAGACGCGCUUCGGGGUGUAAAGUUCCGUCAGUGGGGACGAAAGAUGACGGUACCCACAGUGGAAGCACCGGCUAACUCCGUGCCAGCAGCCGCGGUAAUACGGAGGGUGCAAGCGUUGUCCGGAUUCAUUGGGCGUAAAGAGUUCGUAGGCGGUAUGUUAAGUCUGGUGUUAAAUGCAGAGGCUCAACUGCUGUUCGGCACUGGAUACUGGCAAACUAGAAUGCGGUAGAGGUAAAGGGAAUUCCUGGUGUAGCGGUGAAAUGCGUAGAUAUCAGGAGGAACAUCGGUGGCGUAAGCGGUUUACUGGGCCGUAAUUGACGCUGAGGAACGAAAGCGAGGGUAGCAAAUGGGAUUAGAUACCCGAGUAGUC